Small nuclear RNA from Suncus etruscus (white-toothed pygmy shrew), 133 nucleotides. RefSeq annotates it as U11 spliceosomal RNA. Lineage: Eukaryota; Metazoa; Chordata; Mammalia; Eulipotyphla; Soricidae. The record is from RefSeq and is a predicted model, not a curated record. The transcript has a single exon.
AAAAGGGGCCUCUGAUGUGAGUGGCACCAACAGGCAGCUCGCUUGGUCUAUGUGCAGAAUUGACAUCAAGAGAUUUUGAAAGCAUAAAUUUUUGGCUGUUGUGCAGCUGGUGAUCAUUGGUCCUGGUGUGUCU